RNAcentral lists this ribosomal RNA (496 nucleotides) under uncultured bacterium. Its description in RNAcentral is "partial 16S ribosomal RNA". It matches the Rfam family "Bacterial small subunit ribosomal RNA", at positions 28 to 506 of the family's 1533-position model. The record is from RNAcentral.
GAUGAACGCUGGCGGCGUGCCUAAUACAUGCAAGUCGAGCGAACAGACGAGGAGCUUGCUCCUCUGACGUUAGCGGCGGACGGGUGAGUAACACGUGGAUAACCUACCUAUAAGACUGGGAUAACUUCGGGAAACCGGAGCUAAUACCGGAUAAUAUAUUGAACCGCAUGGUUCAAUAGUGAAAGACGGUUUUGCUGUCACUUAUAGAUGGAUCCGCGCCGCAUUAGCUAGUUGGUAAGGUAACGGCUUACCAAGGCAACGAUGCGUAGCCGACCUGAGAGGGUGAUCGGCCACACGGGAACUGAGAAACGGUCCAGACUCCUACAGGAGGCAGCAGUAGGGAAUCUUCCGCAAUGGGCGAAAGCCUGACGGAGCAACGCCGCGUGAGUGAUGAAGGUCUUCGGAUCGUAAAACUCUGUUAUUAGGGAAGAACAAAUGUGUAAGUAACUAUGCACGUCUUGACGGUACCUAAUCAGAAAGCCACGGCUAACUACGU